RNAcentral lists this non-coding RNA (188 nucleotides) under Proteiniborus sp. DW1. Lineage: Bacteria; Bacillati; Bacillota; Clostridia; Eubacteriales. RNAcentral also lists the same sequence under 1 other name. The record is from RNAcentral.
AAAUAGCUAAACAUUACAGGUGCUUCUUUAGAAGGAAGUUAAAAGGGAAAGCGGUGAAAAUCCGCUACAGCCCCCGCUACUGUAAGUGGGAACGAAAUCAUAAUAUGCCACUGGAGAAAUUUCUCUGGGAAGGUUUGAUAGUAGGGAGUACCACAAGUCAGGAGACCUGCCUGUAGAUUUUAUAAAUA